AUUUUCUUCACUUAAAAAUGUUUUUUUUUUAAUAUUUUUAAAUUUUAUUAGUAGCAUUAUAUGUAAUUCAAAUUUUGAAUUCAAAUUUUAAAAUUUUCAUAUUUUAAUAACGGACACGUAGUAUAAAAUUAGAAGUAUAGACACUUUCCUUUUUCAAUAUCUAUUUCCAUUUAAAAUGUAAUGUAUUUCUAAAAUAAGUUCUGAAAAAAUUGGAGGAAGAAAGAUGCAGCAUACUCUCUAGUGACUAGUCUCCCAAUUCUCGUCUUCAUGUCCCCAACAGUUUCCAUGUUGCCACUAUAACUCUGUAACUGAGAUAAUUUCAAACUCAAAUGUCGUCUUAUGCUUUCAAAUAGUCAUGGUUCAAAAGAUAUUUGACUUUAUUUUUUGGUUGUUUACAAUUUUUCUUCCUUGCCAAACAGGGAAUAGCAGCAGGUCCAUAUAAUUUCUGGGUUUUCCUAAAUCAGAAAUGGUAUGCAGCUCAGUUUACUGAGAUUUUAGGGUUAUUGUUUGGUACUGAUUCUUUCUUCUUGUGUUGCUUUAAGAAUUAUGACCCUGUUUUUUAAUUUUUCUGGUUUUGGUCUCAGCUUCCUCUUUCCUUACUUCAGAGCGCGCAAGGGCAUCCUAUGCUCGUGGGGCUGGAAAAUGGGGAGACUUGCAAUGGCCAUUUGAUGAAAUGUGACACAUAGAUGAAUAUCCAUCUUGGAAAAGUAUAUAUACAUCAAAGGUUUUGGAGCACGCCAGAGUGUCUCGUACAUGGGAAUACAAUUAAGUGUCGAGUCCAGAAACGACUCCAGAGAUGAGCUUGUGCAGCUGAACAAUGGGGAGACUUACAAUGGGCAUUUGGUGGAUUGCAAUUCAAGGACGAAUAUCCAUCGUGUAGAAGUCAUAUGUACCUCAAAGGAUGGUUAAGAUGAUGUUCGAUGGAGAUAGGUUUUGGUGAUGCCAGAAUGUCAUUCGUUGGAAUACAAUUGUCUGAGAGUCCAGAUAUGAGGUUUGUUGCAUCUUGGAGGAACCAACUAUCAUCACACGAGUUUUACCUGCACUGAAGACUGAUACUAGCAGCAGUAGCAAUUCCAACAACACGACUAUGCAUGCAUGCAUGCUUUACCAGUUGCCCCUUACCUUCGGCUAGAAAGCUUGGAAAAAAUCAGCACGGUGAUUUUUAAAAAUGCUAAUAUUAAUGUUAUAUGUUUUUAGUAUCAAUGACCCUUCAAUUAUCAACUUCUUCAAACUUCAGAUGGCCAAGACCAUAGUCAUAUUGUCUCCACCUCCUGCUGUAGGCUUUUGAAGCAAUACAACAUUUUUAUAAUUGCGGUGCUACUCUGCCGCUUGAGUAGUACGCGGCAGAGUAGCACCG
Molecule: long non-coding RNA, 1357 nt
Organism: Juglans microcarpa x Juglans regia
Lineage: Eukaryota; Viridiplantae; Streptophyta; Magnoliopsida; Fagales; Juglandaceae
Exons: 7
Source: RefSeq, a predicted model, not a curated record